This 800-nucleotide unclassified non-coding RNA is filed under the name Hevea brasiliensis (rubber tree). Lineage: Eukaryota; Viridiplantae; Streptophyta; Magnoliopsida; Malpighiales; Euphorbiaceae. The record is from RNAcentral.
UGGCAGCUACAAUUUUUAAAACCUAUUAUUUAACGGGUGUAACGGUCACAGCAGCCCAAAAAAGGCCAUUUUUUGAAACCAUGGUUGUAAUGCUCAUUGAAGGAUGCAGCGCUCCACAUUUUUCUUAAAAGAGUUUUCUUGCAGUACAUUAAAAUGUUAGCAUACCAUAAAAUUUUGGAAAGGAAGAGCCUUUUAGCUUAACUUGAUUCCUUUAUGUAGUUAACACGAUUAGAUUUGGUCCCUAAGCACAUUAAUCAAAGAUAUCAUUGAUCUGAUCCUGCAAGGAACUGCUGGAGAAGUGCAUGGAAAAUGCUGGCAUGCUCUUGUUUGUUAACUAUUUUCAAUGAAAGUUAGUAUUCUUCCUAUCCACUGAGGAUGUAAAUUUUUUUUUCUUAAUCAGAUUAUGAACUUACUAUCAUUUUGACUAUAUUUUUGUCAGCAAGUGUAUGGGCAUUGUAUUAGGUAACACUUUGCCAGUUCAUAUCUAGUGAUUUUACUCGAGUUUAUUUUCUGAGCUGGUUGAGGUUCUUAAGAUUGUAUCAUGAAAUGGAUAUAUCUUCGUUGCACUCACCGAUAAAUGCUUUGAGCUUUCUUUAUGAAUUCAUCAACUCAAUUGUGUGCUGUUUUAAGGUGGAAAUUUUUUGCAAUAUUUAGUCGGUGUGGAAUAUCUCUAUCAAAAGUAUAGUUUGUGUAUCUAUUGUGUAAUUUUUCUUGUUUGAUGUUAUGCAUAAGAAUUCUUGGUGCAGCAUCUCUUACAUGCUUUUAAUAUUUUUGGUAGGCUGUAAGGAUUGAGCACUGUG